AAUGAGCAGAAGGAGAGUGGCCUGGGGUCAUGGUGUAUGUGCGUUGGGUUCUGUGAGUUGGGCCGAGUGCCAGUGUGUGCACAUGCCCUUGGAGUGCAAGGUGACUGUGCGUCCGCCCCCUCCCCGCCCCCACUCCUUUCCCAGCCCGCCUACACUUUGACCUUACUUGAUCAGGUUAGUCGGGACCCGGUGAAAAGCAGCCCUCUGCUGUGCAGCAAUGCCCCUGGGCAGUGGCAACAACUGGGAUCCGGUGGGCCGGGAGCUGGUCCUGCGGGCCAGGUGUUCAGAGUGGCGAACUGCUCAGAUAGAAGAGGCCCGGCUUGUUCUGGCCACUGAUUAUCUCACUGAUUCUGACCUGA
Jaculus jaculus (lesser Egyptian jerboa) is the source of this 359-nucleotide non-coding RNA. RefSeq annotates it as small Cajal body-specific RNA 2. NCBI's taxonomy places the organism in Eukaryota, Metazoa, Chordata, Mammalia, Rodentia, Dipodidae. The record is from RefSeq and is a predicted model, not a curated record. The transcript has a single exon.